AAUGGCAUUGCCAUCUUUCUUGCGUAAUGGUUCUAAACAUUUCUGCUCUCAAACUCAAAAUUCUUCGUCUACCUUAUUAUCGUGGGCUCAAAACCAUUGAGAUCAAUCUUCAUGGCCCAAGUCUUACCUUACUAGUAUUGAGAGAAAUUCUUGCAAGAAACUAUCAUCUGCGGGACAACUAUUCUAUCAAUAAUGCAAUCAUUCAAGUUGGAGAAGUGUACAUAAAUCAGAUGAGUAUGGAGUUCUUACUCGCACUGCUUUAAAGUUGAUGAGUGAACUCUGUAAUAUUAUUAUGCUAUGCGUGGACAAUUUGUU
RNAcentral lists this long non-coding RNA (315 nucleotides) under Carica papaya (papaya). Its description in RNAcentral is "long non-coding RNA (CPAP_LNC005700)". The record is from RNAcentral. Lineage: Eukaryota; Viridiplantae; Streptophyta; Magnoliopsida; Brassicales; Caricaceae.